CCUCCCAUAUAAACUCCUUGUAAUUAAUCCAUUCAUCAAUGACUUAUGGAUGGCAGCUUCUGCCUCCUAUUCAAUCAAAAAAAGAAAAAAAGAGGAGACAUGCAAGGCUGGAUUUUGUCCCAUGCUAACUUCUAAGCCUACUCAUGCUACUUGUGGGUAUAAAAAGCAUUUCUAUCUUGUAAUGCUAUGAGUAAUUUUUGCAUUCCUUUUUUUUUUUUUGUUUUCACAAAGUUCAACUCAUUUCUUUUCGUUUGAUAAUAGGUA
Molecule: long non-coding RNA, 264 nt
Filed under: Elaeis guineensis (African oil palm)
Lineage: Eukaryota; Viridiplantae; Streptophyta; Magnoliopsida; Arecales; Arecaceae
Description: long non-coding RNA (EGUI_LNC062522)
Source: RNAcentral